RNAcentral lists this long non-coding RNA (1369 nucleotides) under Equus asinus (donkey). Its description in RNAcentral is "lncRNA (ENSEASG00005032926.1)". The record is from RNAcentral. Lineage: Eukaryota; Metazoa; Chordata; Mammalia; Perissodactyla; Equidae.
CUUCGGAAUGCUAAGAUGUUCGCUUGAUGUGUGUGUUGCACUGAGGACCCUCGUGAUUACCCUGGUCCCACCUGGAUAAUUCAGCAUGCUCUCCCAUCUCGAGGUUAACGUAAGAAACAUCACCAGUGCCACGGGAGCCCCCUUUGUGCCCUGAUCACAUCUCCGUGACCUCUGACCUGAAAUUUUUCUUGCUUUCCAGGCAAUGUUGCUGUGACUUUUCUACUGCAAGUGCGCUGGCGCAAACAGGAAGGAGUUGCGUUAUGCACAGCUUCAGCUUUACCAGGUCGUGCCGGCUGCUCUCUACAAGCUGCCAUCUUGGUGAUGAUUAGGGAAAGGCACAAUGAAGGUGGCGAGACCACUGGAGGCCCUCCCCGCUCUGCAGGAAAACAAUCGCAAACCCACGUGGAUCGAGAGUCAAAGGAUGGACAGAGAGACAAACUCACACUGCAGGACAGAGGCCUGAGCAUGCAGGUGACAGCUUCACAGUUAAACUUUAACUGAGUUCACUGAACUAAGCUUUAGCCAAUUUCCCAGGAUUUGAAGCAACAGAACACAUCACCAAGGCAAAGACCGAGGGUUUUGACCCCACAGAGAUAGUCUAACCUCCCGCGUGGACAGCAUCUUGGGAAGGCUCCGUGCCGCUCACACGGGAGAGGAGCCACACGUGUAGACAGGGGCAAUGUCUACGAUACGUUCACUGAGAAAAGCAAGCUAAGAACAAUGUGUGUGUGGGACCCUCAUUUUAACAAAAUAGGGAAAUUAGAGCGCUCUGUACAGGUGCGCAAUAAUAGUUCACGUUUACUGAGCAGUUACUGUAGGCCCGCACUGGGCCAAGUGCUCUCUUGAUGGGUACUGACGCCCUGGAUCUUUCGCUGUCAUUGUCACUUCCUUGGACAGAUGGGCGAGGAACUUGCCAAAAGGGAUCUGACUGUAUCUCUUAACCAGCUCUCAAAGCUGUCCCUCCCGUACGCAGGGGACCAGGUGGGUAAAUCUGUGGCUGGUCUCAGGAGCCCCAGGAGGAAUGAGCUCCGGGCGCCAAGCCCUUCCUCAUGCGGGUCAGUGGGAUUGGCGGCCACCUGACCCACUGGGGCAGUCCUGACCAAGGUCGGCUGGCAAAGAGGAUGCCUGUGCCUCAAAAGAGGGUACUCACUCAAUGGAAAAAGGGAAGUGGACAGGUGACCCAAGCUCAGAGCCAGAGGCCAGGCAUUGGGAUGGGGGCAGACGCCACGUGGGGCUUGCUGCUGGUCCCACCCCUCUGGCAUCAUUUCCGCUUCAGGGAGCAAGGACUGAGCUCGUAGUAUGAACGAGAGGGCUAUACCCUCGGGGUCCACGGGCAGGCAGGGCAGGGCCUUGUGGUGGUGAGACUGGC